This 67-nucleotide transfer RNA is filed under the name Amphinemura wui. RNAcentral describes it as "tRNA-Ser". Lineage: Eukaryota; Metazoa; Arthropoda; Insecta; Plecoptera; Nemouridae. The record is from RNAcentral.
GAAACGAGGGGUCCAAGAAAAAGCUGCUAACUUUUUUCUUUAACGGUUAGACUCCGUUUACGUUUCU